CAGGAUUGUAAUGUGGGUAAACGUCCGGCCGCCCAAACGUCCGCACACCGACUCUCACAGCCUAUUAUAGAAACCGAGGCAAUUACCAACAAGCUGAUAGACGAUCUCCACAAAUCUCCUCCUCGUGUCGGGUUGACGGGGCCAAGAUAGCGAUAUACUCGGGAUGGUUUGCCUGAUAUUAAAGUCGAGAUGAUGUUCUGCACUAAGCCAGUCUCGACGCUUGUUGACGCAGGAACGAACCAACUGAGACCUUGCUAGUGUGUCGCUAUACCAACAGAACCCAUCAUCACUAAGAACCUUUACACAGAAGUGAUAGGAAGAUAGUGUGGCAGUGUGACUAAGCAGGACAGACACACUGUCAACUCUAACUUAGAUAUACUGUAUUGUCAACAAGUUCACACGACCAGCAUCAAGAGGUGCGGCAGACGACCAGCAUCAGGAGGUGCGCCAGACGACCAGCAUCAAGAGGUGCGGCAGACGACCAGCAUCAGGAGGUGCGCCAGACGACCAGCAUCGGGAGGUGCGCCAGACGAUCAGUAUCAAGAGGUGCGGCAGACGACCAGCAUCAAGAGGUGCGGCAGACGACCAGCAUCAAGAGGUGCGGCAGACGAGUGGGCACAACGCUUGCCAGCUGUGAACGAGUACUGGAGAAAGUGAAGGCGGUAGAGCAUAGUGGCGGGCAGGCUGCCUAUAAUAGUUCACAGUGUGUUAUAUCAGCACUGCCCCCUAAUGGGCCGCCAAGCUUACGAAGCCCAUUUUCAAUAUUUCCUUCAACGGUGACCCCAGUUUUCCGUCACCUCAUUAACCAGUAACCGCGCCUUAUCUAAAUGAGCUUUAACCUACGAAUAUGGGAGAGUCCGGACCAAUUUUUACCCAAAAUUAAUUAUUCAGAACACAAUCAAGGCCAACAUAAACGUCUUCGAAUCCUCUUAGCACAAAUAAAAGUAUUUUAAGCCAAUGAGCCCGUCAAGGAGCGGCUCCCAACAUUCAUUGACAAACAUUGAUACAUAACCUCGUCACUCUCUCCAGUUACAGCAACUCUUGUCUAAGUACUGUACCAGAUUUUUGAGGUAUAAUCCCGUAUUGGCUGACCCAUAACCCCCUCCUGACCGGCCAACACCCUAACAAUUAGUUUCGCUAACCUCAGUCCCUCCUACUUAUCCCGGGUAACAUCUGCAGGUGCGGUAGCUGGACAGGACCAUCACCUCCCUCCGUCGUCAAGAUUCCCCCUCAAGACAACAGGUCCAGACACGGGUGUCUCAGCCGCACCACAGGAGGCAACUGAUGGUGCUCGCCGACCCAUGGAGCCAAGAUAACCCUCAACAAUGAUGGCGUCUAUUAACCUACUAAAGUGCGCAAACUUUCCACACGACUUGGCUCCCCACGUAAAUAUAUUUCCACUGUAACCUUCCACGCGACAAUGCAUUAUAUAUAUACUUUUUCACUGUAAUUUUCCAUACAACUCUGAUCCAUACGCACAAAUUGUUGAACUCUAUUUUCAUUUUUCUACAAAAUUUUUAGUUCUCACGCUCACUCUUAUAACUUUCAAUGUUUUUUUCUACCGCAUUCUAGUCUUCUAUCCUUAUAUCCUUCUCUUCGCUGGCCAACAAGAGUCUGUGGAAAAUCGUAGACAAAAGAUGCUAAAAAAUAAUUUUCUUCAAGUGAGACGUAAGCUAGUUUGGGUGUUUGUUGAUUUGAGUGUUUGCUGAUUUUUUCUCUUCAAUAAAAGUAUUAGUACACAAAGAGUAAAAUAAAGUCACAGAUUAAAGGCAAGUUCAAAGGUUCAGAGUUGGUACGACACUGUUUUGAACCUCAUGGACUAAAAACCCCAAUGUGGACCCUCUGGACAAAAAAUUAACGUGAACCUUAUGGACUUAAAAAAACAACUGAACCCAAAAAUUCGUUCAAUGGGUUGCAUCUGAAGUUAAAAAUUGAUGAUACUCAUUUAUUUUUAAACCCUGUGACCUCAAAUAUCAAUGUUUGACCACUAAGCUUCAUUCAGGGUUCAACGAUUGAGGUUCCAAGUUAGAAUGGCAAGGAUUUUUCUUCGUUUUAUACACAUGAUGUAAACCUCGAUCGAGUAUAAAACUCCUUCACGUGAACAAAGGCUACUAAGGCUUUACCGAGGCCAGCUUUGUACCGUUGAAUUGGUACACCGCGACUUACACUUGUCAUUAGCGUCUGUCCUAGUCCUAAACAACACUGCACAACCACCUAGCCUCACUUCUUCCUGAUUUAUGUACUGUACAGCCCUGUAAAUGUAUUCAACGCAUAUCAUUAUGUCUAAAUCAAAUGUAAGUUUGUAUAUUUUCAGC
This 2315-nucleotide long non-coding RNA is filed under the name Homarus americanus (American lobster). RNAcentral's name for it is "uncharacterized LOC121868793". Lineage: Eukaryota; Metazoa; Arthropoda; Malacostraca; Decapoda; Nephropidae. The record is from RNAcentral.